UAGUAACGGCGAGUGAAGCGGCAACAGCUCAAAUUUGAAAUCUGGCUCUUUUAGAGUCCGAGUUGUAAUUUGCAGAGGGCGCUUUGGCUUUGGCAGCGGUCCAAGUUCCUUGGAACAGGACGUCACAGAGGGUGAGAAUCCCGUACGUGGUCGCUGGCUAUUGCCGUGUAAAGCCCCUUCGACGAGUCGAGUUGUUUGGGAAUGCAGCUCUAAAUGGGAGGUACAUUUCUUCUAAAGCUAAAUAUUGGCCAGAGACCGAUAGCGCACAAGUAGAGUGAUCGAAAGAUGAAAAGCACUUUGGAAAGAGAGUCAAACAGCACGUGAAAUUGUUAAAAGGGAAGCGCUUGCAGCCAGACUUGCUUGCAGUUGCUCAUCCGGGCUUUUGCCCGGUGCACUCUUCUGUAGGCAGGCCAGCAUCAGUUUGGGCGGUAGGAUAAAGGUCUCUGUCACGUACCUCCUCUCGGGGAGGCCUUAUAGGGGAGACGACAUACUACCAGCCUGGACUGAGGUCCGCGCAUCUGCUAGGAUGCUGGCGUAAUGGCUGUAAGCGGCCCGUCUUGAAACACGGACCAAGGAGUCUAACAUCUAUGCGAGUGUUUGGGUGUCAAGCCCGAGCGCGUAAUGAAAGUGAACGGAGGUGGGAACCCGCAAGGGUGCACCAUCGACCGAUCCUGAUGUCUUCGGAAGGAUUUGAGUAAGAGCAUGGCUGUUGGGACCCGAAAGAUGGUGAACUAUGCUUGAAUAGGGUGAAGCCAGAGGAAACUCUGGUGGAGGCUCGCAGCGGUUCUGACGUGCAAAUCGAUCGUCAAAUUUGGGCAUAGGGGCGAAAGACUAAUCGAACUAUCUAGUAGCUGGUUCCUGCCGAAGUUUCCCUCAGGAUAGCAGUAACGUAUUCAGUUUUAUGAGGUAAAGCGAAUGAUUAGAGGCCUGGGGGUUGAAACAACCUUCACCUAUUCUCAAACUUUAAAUAUGUAAGAAGUCC
This 982-nucleotide ribosomal RNA is filed under the name Alternaria kareliniae. RNAcentral describes it as "eukaryotic LSU rRNA". It matches the Rfam family "Eukaryotic large subunit ribosomal RNA", at positions 81 to 1083 of the family's 3401-position model. The record is from RNAcentral. Lineage: Eukaryota; Fungi; Ascomycota; Dothideomycetes; Pleosporales; Pleosporaceae.